AGACCACUACGGUGACUUGUAAGCAACUCACUAUACUUUAGUAUUGGACUACCUAAGUUUCUAACUUAGUGACGGAAGGAUAUUAGGUAUAGUCAAGUACUUAUCAAGUCGGUGUGUGAGUCAAGAUGAAAUUGACCCAUCUGAAUUAGUAGGAGAUAUGCAUCAGUGUAUUUCAAUUUAGCAAAGUCUUGGCUAGGAUAAUCCAUGAGAUGAAUUUGAAAGGUUAAAAUAUAAUAUGGAUAACUUAAUUAGGGUUGACAAUUAAAUCCUAAGUCACCUUG
This 281-nucleotide long non-coding RNA is filed under the name Elaeis guineensis (African oil palm). Its description in RNAcentral is "long non-coding RNA (EGUI_LNC049942)". Lineage: Eukaryota; Viridiplantae; Streptophyta; Magnoliopsida; Arecales; Arecaceae. The record is from RNAcentral.